Molecule: ribosomal RNA, 254 nt
Filed under: uncultured bacterium
Lineage: Bacteria
Description: partial 16S ribosomal RNA
Rfam family: Bacterial small subunit ribosomal RNA
Source: RNAcentral
UACGUAGGGUGCAAGCGUUGUCCGGAAUUAUUGGGCGUAAAGAGCUUGUAGGCGGUUUGUCGCGUCUGCUGUGAAAUUUCGGGGCUCAACCCCGAACUUGCAGUGGGUACGGGCAGACUAGAGUGUGGUAGGGGAGACUGGAAUUCCUGGUGUAGCGGUGAAAUGCGCAGAUAUCAGGAGGAACACCGAUGGCGAAGGCAGGUCUCUGGGCCAUAACUGACGCUGAGAAGCGAAAGCAUGGGGAGCGAACAGGA